GCCUCCUUAGCUCAGUGGUAGAGCAACGCUCUUGUAAAGCGUAGGUCGUCAGUUCAAUCCUGACAGGAGGCUCCG
Molecule: transfer RNA, 75 nt
Filed under: Mycobacterium celatum
Lineage: Bacteria; Bacillati; Actinomycetota; Actinomycetes; Mycobacteriales; Mycobacteriaceae
Description: tRNA-Thr
Rfam family: tRNA
About the family: Transfer RNA (tRNA) molecules are approximately 80 nucleotides in length. Their secondary structure includes four short double-helical elements and three loops (D, anti-codon, and T loops).
Source: RNAcentral